CUGCCGCUAAUCGCUGCGCAAUGGCCAAAUGGACAAAUGAAAAUUUUGAGAAAGUGAAGAAAAUUGUUAUAGAGAAUCGUCGAGUCACAACUAGAGAAAUUGCUGAGAAUGUCGGCAUAUCGGUUGGCUCAUGUCAAGCAAUCUUUUCGGAAAUUUGGGGCAUGAAGCGUGUGGCAGCGAAGUUCGUUCCAAAAUUGCUGAAUUUCUACCAAAAACAACGUCGCAUGAGCAUCGCUCACGAAUGGUUGAAUGACGCCAACGUUGAUAUAGAUUUGCUUAAAAGGGUCAUAACUGGUGACGAAUCAUGGGUAUGGAUAUAUGACAUCGAAACCAAAAGCCAAUACUCCCAAUGGAAGAGUCAAGGAAAGCCUAGAGUCGAUAGCAGAAAAUCGCCGAAAACGCAAAACACUUGUCUUAUUUCUGCCUCUCACAAACAAACUAAACGUGCCAUAUUACUGAAACCGUGAACAUAUCUUCAAGACAGGUGUACCAACAUAAAAAAAUUUAAAUCGAAAGUCGAAGAUCAUUGCCGGAAAUUGAUGGCCUGAGCAAGGAAACAGUUCUCACAUCCUGGAUGGCAAAAUUUGACAUUAUACUUAAAGGUACCGGCGAAGAAGACUCAAAACGACCCCCACGAAUGCAACAAUCUCUGAACAGUGAAUUGAUCUUGUCAAAGGAGCAAUUAUAUGAUAUGUUCCAACAGAUAGUAAGCGUUAAAAAAUUUGAACAUCAAAUACUUUUCAACGCAUUAAUGCUGGAUUCAGCCGAUGAACAAGCAGCCGCAAUUCGUCGCGAACUAGACGGCCGAAUGCAGCGAGUUAGUGAAAUGGAAAAAAACCGAAAAUUGAUGCCUAAGUUUGUGCUUAAGGAGAUGGAGUCUCUUUAUGUUGAAGAGUUAAAAUCGUCUAUAAAUCUAUUGAUGGCGAAUUUGGAAUCUUUACCAGUAUCUAAAGGAAAUAUGGAUAGCAAGUACGGAUUACAAAAGCUCAAACGCUAUAAUCAUAGUACUCCAUCAUUUCUUAGGAAGAUGGUAUUGCGAUCACAUGGAUCACUUUCAAAAUUGGAAGGGGACACAGAUGAGGGUAUAACGCAACUGACGAAAUUAGAUGUUGUGCUCACUUUUCAACUGGAAGUAAUCGUCAUGGAAGUAAAGGGACUUAAAUCGCUAGCUCCUAAUAGAAUAGUUUAUUGCACUAUGGAAGUGGAGAAUGGUGAAAAACUGCAAACGGACCAGGCUGAGGCUUCGAAACCCAUGUGGGACACGCAAGGAGAUUUUACAACGACGCAUCCUCUACCUGUAGUCAAAAUAAAGUUAUAUACAGAAAACCCUGGAAUGUUAGCGUUUGAAGAUAAGGAACUGGGCAAGGUCACAAUAAAACCAACCCCUCUUUCAUCGAAAUCUCCUGAAUGGCAUCGAAUGGUUGUGCCUAAAAAUCUGCCAGAUCAAGAUUUACGAAUUAAGAUUGCAUGCCGUCUUGACAAGCCUCUAAACAUGAAGCACUGCGGUCAUCUUCAUGCAAUUGGCAAAUCAGUAUGGAAAAAGUGGAAGAAACGUUACUUUGUUUUAGUACAAGUAUCCCAAUACACGUUUGCGAUGUGUAGUUACAAGGAGAAGAAGUCUGAGCCAUCGGAAAUGAUGCAAUUAGAUGGGUACACAGUUGAUUACAUUGAAGCGGCGAGUGCCAAUUUAAUGUUUGGGAUCGAUUUAAAUGGAGGCCGCUACUUUUUUAACGCUGUUCGAGAGGGUGAUAGUAUUGCAUUUGCCUGCGACGACGAAAACGAAUGUAGUCUCUGGGUAAUGGCCAUGUAUCGGGCAACGGGGCAAUCGCAUAAACCCACUCCUCCAGUGACCCAGGAUAAAAACUCAGCAAUUUCAAAAAUUCAAGGCGGAUGCUGGGAUGAAAAUUAAAAUUUAUUAAAACCAACCAACCAACCUGCCUACCUAAUGUUAGUCGUUACGACUACUAACUAUACCGCGUACCUAACAUAUCAAAAAUAUCAUUAGCUAUGAAGGGGUAAGAUCGUAAUUUGCUCCAAUGAUUUUAAAAAAGGAACUUAAAAUGUCUUGAUACUCGAGAAAGAACAUUGCGGAAAUGGGCUAGGACCCGUAAUCAGUUUAACUAUAAAUAAGGGUGAUCAGAUUGGAGGUAAUUUUUCCAAUAGGGUUCUUUGACAGAUUGGGCGUGGCUACUGUCAAACUCAAUAUAUAAUCUUUUUCAGUAUUCAUUGACAUUUUAGCAAGGAAAGACUUUCGUCUCAACAACGUUUACAAAUCCUACAAUUGUACAAUAUUACGAAAAUCGACACUCUUUGAAAAGUGUUCAUCGCGCGCUCAGGCCAAGGUAUGGUGGUGUUCAGCGAUAAGGCCAAUUUUUGGCUCAAUGACUACGUCAAUAAGUAAAAUUGCCCUAUUUGAGUUGAAGAGAAACCCGAAGCCAUUCAAGAAGAACUCAUACAUACCUUAAACACAAUAGUUUGGUGGGGUCUAUGGGCUGGAGGAAUUAUCGGCCCAUAUUUCUUCAAAGACGAGGCUGGCGUCAAUGUAGCAGUGAAUGGCAAACCGUAUCGCCUCAUGAUAAACGACUUUUUAAUGCUGGAAAUUGAAAACCGUGAUCUCCACAACAUUUGGUUCCAAAAAGACAGUACUACUUGCCACACAUCCCGUGAAACAAUUGAUGCAACGUCGUUUCGGGGUAUAUAAAGUCUAAAUGCUUUGUGGAUAAACCAUCGUCGAUUGAGCAGGCAUUGGAAGCCAACAUUAUAAAGUUAUUCCUGAGAUACGGACCGAAGUGCUCCAGCGAGUCAUUUAAAAUUGGCCAACAUUUGAAAGGGAUUAUAUUAAAAAAACAAAUGUCAUGAAUAGUCCUACACAAAAAUAAUGAAG
This is an RNA transcript of Anastrepha ludens (Mexican fruit fly), 2884 nucleotides long. It is a transcript of the gene named calcium-dependent secretion activator-like, with no coding region annotated. The record is from RefSeq and is a predicted model, not a curated record. NCBI's taxonomy places the organism in Eukaryota, Metazoa, Arthropoda, Insecta, Diptera, Tephritidae. The transcript has 11 exons.